UGGUCUGUUUGGAUGGAUGUGACGUAUUGCUAGAAGUGAAAAUAUUCUUCAUUUGUUAUAAGCCUUUAAAAGUGUCAGAGUGGUUCAAUGGAGUGAAAUUCGUGUUUGAAAUCGCUGUGAUAGGUGGUGUUAGGCUACAUGGUAGCAAGGUUGUGAAGCUGGCAGACAGUGGUGGGCUGGAGGACAAAAUACGAGGUGCAGACAUCACUUUUGACGUGCUUCAGAAAACACACACUCGGAGGGAAAGGAAAAGACUUCCGUGUCCCUGCUCUACUCUCUGCUGAUGAAAAUGUGCAGCCAUCACUCUCACACGUUCAUCAUUUUUGCAUCACCGUCAUUCCGUUGAGAUAAAAUUUUCGUAUGAAUUUGAGGACCUAAAGCUUUUUGUGGAGCUGCCUUGUUUCGCAUUUCCCUCCGCGAUGACAAAUGUGAGC
Molecule: long non-coding RNA, 434 nt
Organism: Portunus trituberculatus (swimming crab)
Lineage: Eukaryota; Metazoa; Arthropoda; Malacostraca; Decapoda; Portunidae
Exons: 3
Source: RefSeq, a predicted model, not a curated record